Molecule: ribosomal RNA, 703 nt
Filed under: Saprolegnia sp. UNCW284
Lineage: Eukaryota; Oomycota; Saprolegniomycetes; Saprolegniales; Saprolegniaceae
Also listed under: 1 other name
Description: eukaryotic LSU rRNA
Rfam family: Eukaryotic large subunit ribosomal RNA
Source: RNAcentral
CAUAUCAUAAGCGGAGGAAAAGAAACUAACAAGGAUUCCCCCAGUAACGGCGAGUGAAGCGGGAAGAGCUCAAGCUUAAAAUCUCCAUACUUGUAUGGCGAAUUGUAGUCUAUUGAGGCUGUUGUCAGCAUCGCGAUUGGGGACAAGUCCCUUGGAAAAGGGCAGCAUAGAGGGUGAUACUCCCGUCUCUGCUCCAAUCUGCGGUGUGUACGAUACGCUUUCUUUGAGUCGAGUUGUUUGGGAAUACAGCUCAAAGUAGGUGGUAAAUUCCAUCUAAAGCUAAAUAUUGGUGCGAGACCGAUAGCGAACAAGUACCGUGAGGGAAAGAUGAAAAGAACUUUGAAAAGAGAGUUAAAGAGUACCUGAAACUGUUGAAAGGGAACCGUAUCGUUUCCAGUGUUGUAUCCUAUGCAUAUUUCAUUCGCGGAGUAAUUUGCGGGUGCCCUGUGCAUGGGUGUGACGUCAGGGUCAGUUUGUAUGCUGCGGGAGAUGGUCAGUGAGGAGGUGCGUCACUUCGGUGAAAGUUAUAUCUCGCUGUCUAGUAGCCGUGGUUGAGACUGAGGUGCCUACAACAUGCCUUAAGGUUCCGUGUUGUCUCGUGUUGGUGACUGCUUUGAUAGCUUGCUAUGUCUGUGGUUUAUCAGUGCGAUUGAUGAUGCGGAUAACUUUUGCUGUUCGGGACUCUGGCGAAAUGGAGCGAUAC